CCCCCGAUGGUCUAGUUGGAUAUGGCGGUCGGCUGUAAACCGACAGGUCGCCGGCUCGAUUCCGGCUCGGGGGA
Aspergillus lentulus is the source of this 74-nucleotide non-coding RNA. The record is from the annotation of a RefSeq genome assembly. NCBI's taxonomy places the organism in Eukaryota, Fungi, Ascomycota, Eurotiomycetes, Eurotiales, Aspergillaceae.